UACAGAGGUCCCAAGCGUUGUUCGGAUUCACUGGGCGUAAAGGGUGCGUAGGCGGUUGGGUAAGUCUGUCGUGAAAUCUCCGAGCCUAACUCGGAAACUGCGUCGGAUACUAUUCAACUCGAGGAAUGGAGGGGAGACUGGAAUUCUCGGUGUAGCAGUGAAAUGCGUAGAUAUCGAGAGGAACACCAGUGGCGAAGGCGGCGUCCUGGACCAACACUGACACUGAUGAGCGAAAGCCAGGGGAGCAAACGGG
RNAcentral lists this ribosomal RNA (253 nucleotides) under uncultured bacterium. RNAcentral's name for it is "partial 16S ribosomal RNA". It matches the Rfam family "Bacterial small subunit ribosomal RNA", at positions 524 to 776 of the family's 1533-position model. The record is from RNAcentral.